RNAcentral lists this ribosomal RNA (261 nucleotides) under uncultured archaeon. Its description in RNAcentral is "partial 16S ribosomal RNA". It matches the Rfam family "Archaeal small subunit ribosomal RNA", at positions 748 to 1009 of the family's 1478-position model. The record is from RNAcentral.
UAGGCGUAAAUGAUGCGAGUUAAGUGUGGGGCAUCUACGAGAUGGCCCUGUGCUGUAGGGUAGCCGUUAAACUCGCUGCCUGGGGAGUACGGUCGCAAGGCUGAAACUUAAAGGAAUUGGCGGGGGGAGCACCACAACGGGUGGAGCCUGCGGUUUAAUUGGACUCAACGCCGGGAAGCUCACCGGAUAAGACAGCGGAAUGAUUGCCGGGCUGAAGACCCUGCAUGACCAGCUGAGAGGAGGUGCAUGGCGUAGUCGUGU